GGGGUUGUGGCUCAGUGGUAGAGUACUUGCUUAACAUGCAUGAGACACUGGGUUGGAUCCCCAACACCA
Molecule: transfer RNA, 69 nt
Filed under: Ictidomys tridecemlineatus (thirteen-lined ground squirrel)
Lineage: Eukaryota; Metazoa; Chordata; Mammalia; Rodentia; Sciuridae
Also listed under: 1 other name
Description: Spermophilus tridecemlineatus (thirteen-lined ground squirrel) tRNA
Rfam family: tRNA
About the family: Transfer RNA (tRNA) molecules are approximately 80 nucleotides in length. Their secondary structure includes four short double-helical elements and three loops (D, anti-codon, and T loops).
Source: Rfam by way of RNAcentral